RNAcentral lists this unclassified non-coding RNA (200 nucleotides) under Pezizales sp. RNAcentral describes it as "partial internal transcribed spacer 2". The record is from RNAcentral. Lineage: Eukaryota; Fungi; Ascomycota; Pezizomycetes; Pezizales.
UUAAGUUCAGCGGGUAUCCCUACCUGAUCCGAAGUCAAACUCUUAAAGAAUUGGGUUCAACGGCAUGACACCUACCAGAUCUGAUGCCAGGCGAGAGCUGUUUAGGCUUACUACGCUUUGGCGACCCGUGGAUCAGCACAAUGUAUUUCGCCCAGGAGGACUGGAAGAACCAAUCCGCCAAGGGCACAACCGAGGUUCCU